ACAAGCGCAAUUUACAUUGAGAUCGCCCUGCACUGCUAUUUACUUUGAGACCUGAUUAGUAUGGGUCGUCUCUGGUCACACACACAGACACACACGCACGUUAAAAGAAAGGAAGGGGGCGCGGGAAAGAGAUGCGUUGCGAUAAGGGGAAGGGGAAUUAAAAGGAAAUUAUUUUGGCUCGUUCUGAAAAAGUUUUUUUUAAUUAGAUUUCUCUGUGUCUCCUCGGGAUUUUAUUUUCUUUCAAAAAGACCCUGAUUAGGAAUUACGACACUUGGACUGGAUUCCAUUGUUUAAUGCCUGGAAGUAGAGGGCUAAGGAGAUUCCAUAAGGAAUGACAAUUUCAUCGGAAGGCCUCUAAAGCGCCAGGGAGCUUUGUGCUGGAGCUGAGAACCCGGAGCAUCUUCUUAGGUCAUGGCCAGCUUCAGAACAUCUGAAAAGAGCAAAGAUAAGAAUGCCUCUGAACUCGUGCAGAAUGCCCUCCUCUUUCAAACCCCCUCCUUCCAGCGAUGAGGAGGAAGGCAGUGCUUUGUCAAUUUCCUGUUCACUCUGACUAUCUGCAGGGAACCCACAAGAAGGGCUAAGAGGAAGUCACCUGCAUCCGCUUCUUUGUUUCCUUGGAACCAAUAUGUAAUAUUAAUACAGGCAAUGAAGGGAGCAACUAGAAUGAUGUUUCACGUUCAUCGUAACAACCACAAUAAUUAAAAAUUGAUGCCACAACACACAUUGGAAUGUGAAAAACAAACAGAGGUCAGAAUCAGAUGACCCAAGAGUCAUUCUGCGCAUGCUUGCAGAGACAUGGAUCCGGAAGUUUGAAAAAAAAAAUCCCACCCAACACAACACAACAGUAAAUCAGGAUAGCCCCUCAGCGGAUCGCGUGCUCAAUCUGCCUCAGUGGGGAAUCCUUCGUUGCUGCUGCGUUUCUGGGAACAAGAAUUGUUUGCGGGGCAGAAGCUGCAGUUGGGAUGCUGAAACAGUGCUGAAAAGAUCCUUGUUUUUCCCAAACCGAGUAGAGGAGAAAAUCUAUCAACUGAAAAUGUGCUGGCAUUCCAGCUGAAGACAUCAUUAUUGUAUCUCAUGAAGGAAAUAAACUAUUUUCCUUUUUAAGUCUGUUCGCCUGUCAAGGAGACAUGGAAAUGUGCUGGCAUUCCAACUGAAGACAUCAUUAUGAGUGAGAAAAUGCUCAAGGCCUUUUUAAAAAAUGGGUACUGAAAGAGAUGCUUCCCUUCUUUGACUCCAGGGGAUGCUGGUAGCUACCCCAGCAGACUGAUACCGGGGGUCAGAGGCUAGCAUUACUGUGUGUAUACUGUGCACCCUUAGGAUUUUUCCGGGAGAUGGGCAAGCAAGUAAUCAUGCCAAAUCUUAAUUAGGAGGCACUGCAUGAAAAGAAGAACUUGACAACAAAAGAAAAGUAACCUGCAAGGAGCGGAGUCUGGGCAACACAACCCUUGGCAGCUGCGUUUUUAAUAAUCUGACAGAUCACUGAUUUCCAUGAAAUGCUGUUUCCAAGGGGACAGGAGACCCCAAAGAAGUCAUGAAGGGAAUCUGCAGUGGAAAGAGAAAACAGAUGAAAAUUUCCAGUUUACUGUGGAUCCAAACCAUGACAGGGAACUGCAGCAGAACCCAACUUUUAGCUACAUGGCUAUGUGAUACACAUGGCAGAAACAAAUAUUUGCUGCUUGCUGACAUCACAGUUUUAUGAGCCCAGAAAAGUGGACUGCAAGGACCUGCUAAAAAGGGAUCCUGAGAAGCAUCUCUCCAAGCAACUACGGUAGUUAAUUUUAGGUUUCCUGCAGGAAAGUGGUACUUUCUGCACAGUCUUUUAAAGACGUCUUGGGGACAUCUUAAAAAAAGCAUCUGCUGAUUUUUUGUCCAGACAGCAUGGACAAAUAAAGCGCUAAAGGAGCCAGUGGUGAUUUUUUCUCCCCCUCGCCAUUUCUGCUGCUUGAAUCUUCUGUGCCACAAACCAUUUGCUGAAGGUUUCCCAGAAAGGUUUCCUCUGCCUGCUCUCUUUUCUGAGUGUAAAGCACAUGAAUAAAGUUAUUUUUUCCUGGUGAUCUCAGGAACAUGUCGGUUUUCCUUUUUUUUUUGUUUCCAAAGAGGUACCGUUGAAGCUACGCAGACUCAAAAUGUGUGCAUGUUGGUGAUUUUUAUAUUGAGUUUGCAUAGAUUCAAAGAUAUCUUACUGGAAAAAAAGGAAAAAUGACACGUUCCUGAGAUCACCAGGAAAAAAAUAACUUUAUUCAUGUAUUUUACACACAGGAAACCUCUGUGGGAAAUCUUCAGCAAAUGGCGGGCAGCAGGGAGAAUCCCUGACGUGGUAGCAAAUGUCUGUUCCGAGCUGCACAGAAAAUGAAAGUAGAAGCUUUAAACUUGGGUGGGAAAAAUAAAACAGGUUGCUCUCUGCACAUCAUUUAAGCCGUCUUGGGGAAAAAAGAUCAUGUUUUCCAAAAAUGACAAAUUGAGAUGAAAUAACACAGAGGUUCUUCCCAAGAUGCUUCUUUUAAUGUCUUCAGGGGACAUUUUAUUUGUGCAGUGCAGAAAGGGCAAUUGUCCACCCUUGCACGGUUUCAUGUAAACAGCUCUCAUUCCAGGCUAGGCUAGCUUGCAUCAAAGUUUGUUGUGAAUAUUGCUCCAGAUGAAUGAAUCUGCAGGGGACUGAGGAGCUUGAUGCCAACUUAAUAGGCCAAAGGUAGGCAAGUUGUUCUUGGCUUUAGUUGCAAGACUGCAAGGGUUUGUAACUCAGAUCACUGGGAACAGGUGGUUACAGCCCUGCAAAUGACAUCCUUUCUGUUUGUCCUCCUGAUGUGAACUGAUAGAGCAAUUCAGAAUUCAUGCAAGGGCACACCUCCAAGCCCCGUAGUCAAUUCUGAACAUAGAUGAGAAUUGUGAUAUCAAUGUCAUGGUGCACUUGCUUUGAAAAAGUCGUUAUGAAGAAUAAUAGAGAGAUUUUGAGGGAAGCCACUGAAAGCUGUAAUUUAAGGUUCCAGAAGCCUCAGUAUUGCGAUUGCCAUUAAAAUUUACAGUGACAGAAGCCCAAUUACAUAUGGUUAUUUUCUUUUCUUAAAUCAAACCAUAUUUCUGCUGUACAUGAAAGAUUCAUUUCCUCCUACCAAUCACUGUCAUGGGAACCUAUCUUUGUAGCUUCUGGUGUCAGAAGAGAUGGGUUAGCCUUAUUCCUGUGACAAUGAAAGGAUCAAUGGGGGUAGCAAAGCUGGGAGCCUCUUUGGAGCUAGCUGAGGAGACUGAUUUGCAUGAUAAUCAGCAGUGGAUCCGCUCAGUGCAAGCCUCUCCACUUAGCAAAGUGCAGCUCAACUUUAAUAGCAGCAGUGAAACAGAAACUAAGUGGAAGCUUUAGCACUAACUCCAGGAAAGCUGGCAGGUAAAGCGAAAAAAAAUCGAGCGAAACAGCUUCAGCGGCAGCUCUUAUGACCAUCGAGGAAUCAAAGGGGCUCAAGUGCAGGGUGACAGUGCUGUCAACUCCUGCAUAUUUGUUUAUUCAAUUAAAUUGUGUUCAUUGAAGGCAACUGGACAACCCAGCAAUCAGAUGAAAAAUCACUAUUUCUACCUUUAUCUUCAUUACAUUCCUUUCUGACCACUCAGUCCAAUGUUAUUCUUUUUGAAAGCAGGAUUGUAAAUCUAAGAACUGAGCCAUUUGUGGAUUAUAUAUUUUAUUUCUUACCACUGCACUUCACACUUUCUCUGAGGAGCUCAAGGCAAUAUACACAUUAUGUGCCCCAUUCCCUACCAUCACGCCAGCUUUAAAAGAAGGGUAGGUGAAGAGACAGUGAGGAGGAUCCUAUCCAGUGUUGGGAUUCAGCAGGUUCGCACCACUUCGGCAGAACCGGUUGUUAAAAUGGUGCUUGUAAACAACCAGUUGUUAAAUUAUUUGAAUCCCACCACUGAUCCUAUCUCAUCAUAUCACUUUACCAAGCAAAAUUCUGAAGCUUUCCCCCAGCCAAUGGAGCCUUCCUCCAACUAAAGGGGUCCUUCCUCAAACAAAAGAGCCGCUUUAUUAGGAAGAAGGCUCCUCAGACUGGGGUAGACUGGCUGUAGGUUUCCUGGUGAACUUCACAGCUGAGCAGGGAUUCAAAGUUAGGGCUUUUAAAAAUACCAUACUAAUGCUCUUUCUCUGCCCUUUCAAUUUUCCUAAGUGGGUGAAUCUAAUAAAACAGUGCAUGGCAGAGUUCAUGUACCUACUAUGCGGAGUUUACAAAUUCUGUGCAAAUCUACAGUAUGCCUACAAAUCAUAGGUGAGCAGGAGUAUUUAGUGAGGUCAAACGUCUGAGGAGCAAAAGCAAUUCCAAAUGCCAUUUGAACAUAAGAACAUAAGAACAAGCCAGCUGGAUCAGACCAGAGUCAAUCUAGUCCAUGAAGACUUACAUAAAAUCGGUGGUGUUUGUUAAAAAGUUAUUAUAGAAGGGUUGUAUCUUCCAGAUAGUACUAAAGCCAAACAAAAACGGAAAGGAAUUGUUAAAGAAACAUUUACAAAUUUCUUUUCAACUUAUGGUUGGAUACGAACAAUCUCAAAAAGCAGUGAGUAGUUAAGCCAGUGCUUAACUAACCAUUUUCUUUGUCUUUCAUUGUACUAGUCUAAUCAGUGGACAGUAAACAGUAAAGACUACUGAAAUGUUCUGAGCAAUAACUAUAACCUAUCUUUCCCAUAAUGAGAGGUUUAUGGGGUUUGUCAGAACUCAUCAACUGAGCAGACUAGACUGAAUUAUUUCAACCUGAGAGGGGCUAAAUAAAUGUCCAAUGGUUGCUUGCCAAUAGGAGAAGUUGAAGACUUGAGAAAAUGCUCAUUCAGGUUGUUUCCCUGCAGCAGGAAGUAAAACAAGAAUGCUGGUAGAGGUCAUGCUAAGCUUCUUCCAGCACUGAAGGUUUCAUAUGAAUGUCAGCAGAUUUUUUUUUUUAAAAGAUGGAACUACUCUUGAUAUUUUUGUGACGAAAUAGCAAGCUUUCCUGACUGCAGACCUGGAAAGUUUCAAUGCUAUCAGUACUUGCUCCUCAGAACAGCAAGAGGAUUCAUCUUAUCUUGGUCUCCGCUGAUCCUCAUAACUGGUGAGUGUGGACUGUGCAAUCCACAUGAAAACGCAGCCUCGGAGUUAGCCAGGGCUGCCAUUGUGGCUGUUUCUGGGGCCAGUGAGCUGCGAGCACAUGCCCGGCUCUGUCUAGUGACAGGGACCCAUUAUGUGACAUGGGAGGGGGCGGACGAGCCUAUUUAAGGUGUCGUCCGCCAUGCUCCAGCCUCUUUCGAGGCUUUGGCAGCGAGCAGGAUGCUGCUCGCUGCUCCAGAGCUGGACCAUGUGCUUGUGAUCAGCCGUUGGGCCUGAGCUGCAGUUUUGUGAAAGAGCUGAGACCGGCUGACAGAGCUUGAAAGUUAAGGUGCUCCAGAGUGAGCUGGGGCACCACAGAACCCAUUGCCUGGGGGGUCUUUUCGGAAGGUGGGAACACCUCCCCCCAGGAUUGUUAAGGGCCAGGGUGGAUGGAGCUGCUGCUCAGGCAGGCUGCAAGGACAUUGCGCAUUUGCCCUUCACCCGCCACCCUUAUUGAAUAUCCUUGUUGGACAUUCUGCCUAGCAACAGUGCUGCAGCAGACUUGGUAAAGACAGGCAGCCAGGCUGUGCAUGAUAGGCUUGGCUGGGAGGCAUUAGCUGGCGUUCACAGGGGUGGGGCUUCCCCCCAAUAGCUUUCUGAUCAACCCCCCCCAUUUUGCUCACCCCUCAAAAGAAAACAUUGUUAUUUAAGUAGCUUAUAGUAUAUUGGUCACUUAUAAUAGGUAGCCCAUAGUUAGUAGUUAGUUCAUAGUUACUGGUUAAGUUAUAGUUGAUAGUUUAGAGUUAGUAGAGUUAAUUAGUUGAUGGCUAUCAAUAAUAAUUGGGGAUUGCUUCAGUAUGACACCCAAAAAAACAAACCUGGAACUGCUCCGAGUGGAGGGUCAGGCCAGCCAGGGCUGGGCCAGGAUCAGGUCCAGUUGUCAUAGCUCAGCUGGGGGGGGGGCAUUCUCAGACCCACCGAUCCACAGUGGGUCCAGUAAGUCAGUCCUCUCACACCCAACCAGCAGGUUCAACUUCCCAAGCAGGUCAACUGCUUCCCAGCUGCUUCCGAGCCACCCGCCACUGGUGGUCAGUCCUCUCAUGGUACCCCCUAUGACGCCAUGCCUGGCGCCACCUGUGGCAGAUGGAUGGCUAGGGCAUUAUACACCUGUGCCGGCUAGUGUGCAAUUGUUUAUGGGGCUGGCUGCAGGUAACACGAGUCAGACAGGGGAAAGCCCAUUUUUGUAUUUUGGCCAGUUCAAUAACCCGGACUUAGUGUUGGGGCCAACUGCAGUUGGAUCAGUGCAGCAGGGUCCGCCAUAUGGGGUGUCGUCCAAUGGAAAUUUCAUGCAAGGGCUUUCCAAUACCCUCAUGCACUUGUCCCAGUGCAUUGGUGGCAGAACUACCCCAGGAUCAUUUUCCCCGCUGUCUGUUCUCCCCCCACUAGGGUGGUGAGCCCUCAGGUGACUGAGCUGCCAACUUCAGCAGAGACGCCCACGACAUUGGACACUCAGGUGAUAUGCCCAGAGGUCGAGGUAGGAGAGGAUGGAGGUCCUCUCAGCGCUCCAGAUCAUUCAGCCCCUCUUCCUCCAUUGAGUCCUCAGAUGAGGAAUCAGCACAGGUCAUAGGUGAAUUUUGGGCAACUGGAGAACAGGUUCCCCCUCUUCCCCAGUGGCUAGCUAGGAUGCGUAAUCCCAGUGAUGGAACUCAAGGGACGCCACCCACCGGCAUCGGCUCCAAGUUGGCGGCUUUAUGGGAUGCUGGGGAUUCUCCUGAGUUUCCAAAAAACCUUCAUGGGUAUUAUAUGGAAAUUUUUCAACUUCUUCGGCCUGAGGUUGAGCAAGAGGUGUCUGGGUCUCGUGUCACCAAGAGAAAAUAGGGGAAAGCGUGUGCAGAGCACACUUUUGAUAAUUGGUUAAAAAGAUACACUGAAUAUUUGGCACUGAUAGAGGCUGCUUACCCUCUCAGGGCUUGGCAUUUGACAACCCACUUGUCGCACGUACUCAGAGCCCGAUCAAUAGCGGGGGAGGCUGCCACCCUAGAAUACGAUGAGGCAUUUCAAAAGAGUGCAUCUCAUUGGGUGGGCCAGCGCUGGGACUUGAUUCAUAACCAGACCUGGGUGGUCACUGUCCACCCUCUGGCAAAGGCUCAAGGGGAGGAGAGCCGCAAGGGGAUGGGCACCUUGUGGGAUUCUACCUGGCUGGUGUGCUGGGAUUUUAAUCAGAAGGGCUGCUGGCAUGUUAAAUGCACGUACGACCAUAUCUGUUCUGAUUGCCAUGGCUCUCAUGCACGGGCACCCUGCACCAAGGCCAGCUGGAACCCUGGCUCGGGCAGCCCGAGAUGAGACAACAGCAGCCAGGGAGGAGUACCCGCUAUGCAGAAGGCGUGAAAUUCCUGCAAUCCUUCCUGCAGAGUCUGCAAGGAGGUUUUAGGGGAAAAGGUAUUUGUCUUUCCCUGGAAUGUCACUAGUGAUCCUGGCUGUAUCAGUGCUAAAAAGGAGAGCUGGAAGUUGUAUUGAAAUCACCUGCAAAAACCAAAUGGUGGUAAUGCCCUGUAAGAUGUCAAACUCUGUAUAAAUCCUAGCACCUUCUAACUGCUGCUGCUAAAAUGAUCAGCAAUUGUAAUACAAACUACGUUUAUGUUACUGCAGAAAGGUUAUAGAAUAACUGAGUGACAUAAACACAGAUUGUCCAAAUCACCAAGAAAUAUUUAUUAUAUUUGUAGAAUGAUAAAAUAUCUGACAGAAGCAAAACAUGUAAAGGAAUGGCCUAUUGGGGUAUGUUUUAUUUUGUGAUGAGAAAAUGAAGUCACAAAAAAUUGUCUACACCUUUCAGUGAUAUUCUUCCAGUGCUGAAAUGUUAACCAUGUCACUUCAAAUACAUAAUACUUUGAGGGCAUAUAUGCAAAACAUAUUUAAAUUCCUCAGUAGAUUACAAUGGUGAGAAUGAUGUUGUCACUGCCCUAUUACAUUAUUAGAUUACCAACUAGGGUUUGGAACAUUUCUGUGGGCUGAUUUUCAGCUUCAAUAAACUUUACAUGAAUUGUUCAGUGGCUCUUUUUAGAGGCAGGGAAAAUGGUCGGUGUGGCAGUAUAAACCAAAACAUUUCACAGCUGGAGAUGACAUACAACAUUCUGAUGUGCAAAGAGAAGUGCAACAAUUCACAGCCUUGAAUAUUUGGACAGGAAAUGUUGAUGUCAUUAUUGAUCUUAUCUCUAUCAAAAUGCUUUACAAGGAUUAUCUUCAGAAUAUCUGGGAAUCAAUUAGGUUGAAGACUGCUUCACAAAUCAUAAUAAAGAGUGAAAACUAUGUGGUGUGUAUUAUUGAUUGGACACAGAAAUUUUGCUCAUGUUGUUUUGUUCUUCCAUAUGUUUUGUUCAUCUUCUUUAUUAUAGGUGUUACAGCUGUUUGGAUUCUUCUAUUUUGUAUUCAUUUUCAUUGGUUUUCAUUUUAAUUUCUGAUCAUAACCUUUUUGUUUUCCUUUCAGCUGGGACAAACUUCUCUUGCUUAUUGUGUUUGCAGACUCCACUAGGCUUGAAGUAAUUUUGAGACCGGCCCACAUCCGGGUCCAGGUUAGCAUAGUGGACAUUUAUUAUACAUAAUCUUUACUAUUGUUAACAGGAUCUGUUUUAGAUACCUUGAUGUACUUUGGAAAGUUGAUUAAUGUUGAUAUACACAACAUUCACACCAGAGAACUUUAUGGAAGAACUUUGUUAAACCUUAUUUGAAAAUAGACAACCAUUGCUGUGAGCCUUUUUCAGUGUAAUUUUCACUGUUUACACUGUGUACACUGAUCCCCACAUAAUUAUUAUAGUGACGACCCUGACCAUGCCAUAUUUUCUUGGCAACAAAGUUUGCCAAGUUGACAUCAUGAAUAGCAGUGAAACAGAGAGCUACCAGCUCUUCCCCAGGCCUGGCAGGACAUUAAAAGCAUUGCCUUCGUGAGAACCAGGAAGACUCCAAGGGCCUGUCAGUGAUCCUCCAAAGAGGGGCUCAUAAAAGGAGACCCUCCAGUUCCUCCAACAAGGCUCAGAGGAUGGAUGCCACAGUUGAUGGAUACCUCCACGACGACAUCUCCUCUCAUGUUGACCUUGCAGGCCCAAUCCUGCCUUUCCUGCUGGCCUGUCCCACCCCAACCACCCUACUCUAAAACGCACUAAGAAGUCAGCACUAGAGCGACACAAGCCAUCAGAUUGAACAGCUCCAGGUUCAUCUUGGGCACUCUCUUUUUCUGUUUGAGCCUGCUCCAGAAUCCAGGACCCAAAGGUCUUUACUACAAAAGGGGCAGCCUAUGCUCUGCCAAUAAAAUAUCUGUCUAUUGUU
Sphaerodactylus townsendi is the source of this 9353-nucleotide long non-coding RNA. RefSeq lists it as uncharacterized. The record is from RefSeq and is a predicted model, not a curated record. The transcript has 8 exons. NCBI's taxonomy places the organism in Eukaryota, Metazoa, Chordata, Lepidosauria, Squamata, Sphaerodactylidae.